CCGGCCGCUGGGAGGGCGGGAUGGCGUGAACAGGCCACGCCCUUCCUGUUGCGAUAAGCCCUGCCCUUCAACCAACCUCUGAGAGCUGAAUGUCAGAGCGGGGUCUCCUAUCCUCGGUCGCAGGGGCAUCAGACUCUGAGCUGCAGGAGAGGGAGGAGGAGGAGGAGUUAGGCUGAGUUUUAUUUUGAAAACCAGAAGCACAGGAAGUUCAGAUUCAGAAUGAAGAGUUACGGGUGUCUGAAGAGAAAAGGUGCUACACGUGAUAAAGAGCAAUUUCAGCUGUGACAACAAAAUGAGGCCAUUUUGCUUUUGAGGAAACUCAGUUUGUGAGACAGCAUCAGAUAUUUAAGGUUUUUACCUUUUUCACCUUCAGUGGUCAGGUGCGUUUAGAUGCAGCCUAAAUUCAGUGUUUAUAACAAAAAAAAAAACAAAAUAGAUGCAUGUUGUAAGUUUGUACAAACUAGUUAAAAUCGACUUCAGCUGCACCCAACAAAUCUGGGCUUAAUAUAAAUAAACGUGAAAUCAGUUUUAAUUAAUUUUUCAAAAACCAAUCUCAACUGACCAAACUUGUAAAUUCUAAAUCCUGAAUACUGCUAAAAUGCAUAAACCCAAAAAAUAAAAAUAAAUAACAAACCCUCAAAAACAACAACAACAGAAAACCCUGUCAAUUCUAAAUUCUGACCACUUAGGAAACUUGUAACCUCAAAAUCUCCAAAACUGGUAAAACUAUUAAUCCUGAAAACUAACUUUUGACCAGUGGUCAAAGUUGUAAACUUAAAGUCCUGAAAAUUUAUAAAAUGCAUACACUUUAAAUUCUGACCAUUCAAAAACUUGGAAACCACCCCUAAAAUGCAUUAACUCUAAAUCCUGAAAACUUGUAAACUUCAAAUUUUGAAAACUUGCCUUAAAAAAAAAAAAAAGUAAACUCUAAACUCAGACCACUCCUUAAACUUGUAAACAAUAUAUCCUGAAAUGCAAAAAAGUUUUGAACUCUAAAUCUUGGAAACUAGUAAAGCCCCUCAAUUCUAAAUCCAGACCACUUAUAAAACUGGUAAGUUUAAUCUAAAAGUCGGAUCUUUAACAAGUUUACAUUAAUUAUCCUCUGAAAAGUUUCUUCUAAGACAUACAAGCUUUUUUUUAUCACGACAGUAGUGACUCAGUGUUUUCAAGAGCAGAAUAUUCAUUCAGUCAGAGUUUCUGAGUGCGGGUGAAUGUGACUCCAAAACGUGAAAUCCACUGUUUUUUGUUUUUAAAUGUGACGACAGCUGCCAAAUAUCAUGAAAGACAAACAGCUAUGAAAUUAAAGUUUUCCAGUCGAAUAUUGUUGGAGUCAUGAAGUUAAGAACUAAGACACAUUUUGUCUUUCUGUGGAUCUGUGGUGUUUUGGAAUCAAAACAUUCAGCCGUAUGACGUGACUUGUGUCGAAGCUGAAAUAAGAAGAAAACAUUUACUUUGUGCUUUUAGCUGCUGCAGACCUGUAAGUGGACGUUAGUGAGAAGAGGAGAAGCAGGUUAACUGUUGUUAAAGUAGUGGUGAGUGUUCCAGGUCGUCAGAGGGUGAAAAGGCGAGAAGAGGAAGAGGAGGAGGAGGAGAUUGUUCUGGAAAACAUCUGAUCUGGCCAGAUGGAGGGAGGGAGGUGGAGGAAGAGGAGGGUGAAGCUGCACAGAGGUAUGAACCAAUCAGAGAGCGGGAGGCUGAAGGAAGGAGGGGCCAACCGGAGUGUUUCCAUGGUGACUGGGUGUCUGCGAUGCUGCUCAGGGGCCAGAAGUCGCUCACUCGCCGGUCCAUCUGCCAUGCUGCGUCUGGAGGGAGCCAACCAAGAAAGAGAUGCCAAGAAAAGAGUAACCAAUCAGAGGAGGGGAUGGAGACAGCGAGCGGACCUCAGCGUCCCUGGAGACAGGAUGUCCUCGUCCAUGUCGUCGAGGUCAUCGGAGAGGAGGAGGUGCUGAGGGGUGGGAGGUCUCAGGCCAAGGAAAGACGGGUCCAGGUUGAGGGCGGCAGCUAGCGCUCCCAGACCGGGGUUAUUGACCAGGCAGAAACCCGUCAGACACUCGAUCUGCUGCCAGCGGUGAAGCUUCUCCCGCAGCGCCGCCGUCACCUCGGCCAGGGCCUGUCUGAGGGGCGGGGUUAACAGGAGGAACCUCGGACAGUCAAAGGUGACUCACUUGGCGGAGAGAAUCUUGUGGUCGACGUCGUCCAGCGAGGAGCUGUGAGCUACAUGAAACGUUCCAAACAGAGAGCUCCUCUUCUUCUUGAUCUUCUCUGCCUAAAGCACCACAUCGGAUAU
Molecule: long non-coding RNA, 2287 nt
Organism: Epinephelus lanceolatus (giant grouper)
Lineage: Eukaryota; Metazoa; Chordata; Actinopteri; Perciformes; Serranidae
Source: RefSeq, a predicted model, not a curated record